RNAcentral lists this ribosomal RNA (429 nucleotides) under Chloroflexota bacterium. RNAcentral describes it as "Chloroflexi bacterium partial 16S ribosomal RNA". It matches the Rfam family "Bacterial small subunit ribosomal RNA", at positions 355 to 776 of the family's 1533-position model. The record is from RNAcentral. Lineage: Bacteria; Bacillati; Chloroflexota.
UGGGGAAUAUUGCACAAUGGGCGCAAGCCUGAUGCAGCCAUGCCGCGUGUGUGAAGAAGGCCUUCGGGUUGUAAAGCACUUUCAGCGGGGAGGAAGGCGAUAAGGUUAAUAACCUUGUCGAUUGACGUUACCCGCAGAAGAAGCACCGGCUAACUCCGUGCCAGCAGCCGCGGUAAUACGGAGGGUGCAAGCGUUAAUCGGAAUUACUGGGCGUAAAGCGCACGCAGGCGGUCUGUCAAGUCGGAUGUGAAAUCCCCGGGCGCAACCUGGGAAAUGCGUUGGAGACUGGAAGGCUAGAGUCUUGUAGAGGGGGGUAGAAUUCCAGGUGUAGCGGUGAAAUGCGUAGAGAUCUGGAGGAAUACCGGUGGCGAAGGCGGGCCCCUGGACGAAGACUGACGCUCAGGUGCGAAAGCGUGGGGGGCAAACAGG